RNAcentral lists this ribosomal RNA (587 nucleotides) under uncultured bacterium. Its description in RNAcentral is "partial 16S ribosomal RNA". It matches the Rfam family "Bacterial small subunit ribosomal RNA", at positions 355 to 937 of the family's 1533-position model. The record is from RNAcentral.
UGGGGAAUUUUGGACAAUGGGGGCAACCCUGAUCCAGCAAUGCCGCGUGUGUGAAGAAGGCCUUCGGGUUGUAAAGCACUUUUGUCCGGAAAGAAAACGCCGUGGUUAAUACCCGUGGCGGAUGACGGUACCGGAAGAAUAAGCACCGGCUAACUACGUGCCAGCAGCCGCGGUAAUACGUAGGGUGCAAGCGUUAAUCGGAAUUACUGGGCGUAAAGCGUGCGCAGGCGGUCCGCUAAGACAGAUGUGAAAUCCCCGGGCUUAACCUGGGAACUGCAUUUGUGACUGGCGGGCUAGAGUAUGGCAGAGGGGGGUAGAAUUCCACGUGUAGCAGUGAAAUGCGUAGAGAUGUGGAGGAACACCGAUGGCGAAGGCAGCCCCCUGGGCCAAUACUGACGCUCAUGCACGAAAGCGUGGGGGAGCAAACAGGAUUAGAUACCCCUGGUAGUCCACGCCCUAAACGAUGUCAACUAGUUGUCGGGUCUUCAUUGACUUGGUAACGUAGCUAACGCGUGAAGUUGACCGCCUGGGGAGUACGGUCGCAAGAUUAAAAACUCAAAGGAAUUGACGGGGUCAUAGCUGUUUCC